RNAcentral lists this ribosomal RNA (383 nucleotides) under uncultured eukaryote. RNAcentral describes it as "partial 18S ribosomal RNA". It matches the Rfam family "Eukaryotic small subunit ribosomal RNA", at positions 592 to 976 of the family's 1831-position model. The record is from RNAcentral.
CAAUAGCGUAUAUUAAAGUUGUUGCAGUUAAAAAGCUCGUAGUUGGAUUUCUGGUAGGAGUGACCGUUCCGAACUUGAUUGUUCGUGUAUUGUGUUUUCUCCAGCCAUCCUUGUGGAGAACUUUUCUUGCAUUAAUUUGUAGGGAUUGGGACCCGCAUCGUUUACUGUGAAAAAAUUAGGGUGUUUAAAGCAGGCAAUCGCUUGAAUACAUUAGCAUGGAAUAAUAAGAUAGGACUUUGGUACUAUUUUGUUGGUUUGCAUACCAAAUUAAUGAUCAACAGGAACAGUUUGAGGAUAUUCGUAUGAACAUGUCAGAGGUGAAAUUCUUGGAUUUUGAUCAGACGAACUACUGCGAAAGCAUUUAUCAAGGAUGUUUUCAUUAA